GCGGAUUAAUACUGUAUGAGGUCACACGAUGGCAUCAGACUGUGACGAAAGGUUUAGCGGACAGGGAUGGGGAUGCGUCCGAUUAGGUAGUCGGCGGGGUAACGGCCCACCGAGCCGACGAUCGGUAGGGGUUCUGAGAGGAAGGUCCCCCACAUUGGAACUGAGACACGGUCCAAACUCCUACGGGAGGCAGCAGUGAGGAAUAUUGGUCAAUGGACGUAAGUCUGAACCAGCCAAGUAGCGUGCAGGAUGACGGCCCUAUGGGUUGUAAACUGCUUUUAUGCGGGGAUAAAGUUAGGGACGCGUCCCUUUUUGCAGGUACCGCAUGAAUAAGGACCGGCUAAUUCCGUGCCAGCAGCCGCGGUAAUACGGAAGGUCCGGGCGUUAUCCGGAUUUAUUGGGUUUAAAGGGAGCGUAGGCCGGCUUUUAAGCGUGUUGUGAAAUGCCGCGGCUCAACCGUGGCACUGCAGCGCGAACUGGAGGCCUUGAGUGCGCGGGAGGUAGGCGGAAUUCGUGGUGUAGCGGUGAAAUGCUUAGAUAUCACGAAGAACUCCGAUUG
RNAcentral lists this ribosomal RNA (559 nucleotides) under uncultured Bacteroidales bacterium. RNAcentral describes it as "bacterial SSU rRNA". It matches the Rfam family "Bacterial small subunit ribosomal RNA", at positions 158 to 715 of the family's 1533-position model. The record is from RNAcentral. Lineage: Bacteria; Pseudomonadati; Bacteroidota; Bacteroidia; Bacteroidales.